RNAcentral lists this ribosomal RNA (460 nucleotides) under uncultured bacterium. RNAcentral describes it as "partial 16S ribosomal RNA". It matches the Rfam family "Bacterial small subunit ribosomal RNA", at positions 338 to 795 of the family's 1533-position model. The record is from RNAcentral.
CCUACGGGAGGCAGCAGUGAGGAAUAUUGGUCAAUGGGCGGAAGCCUGAACCAGCCAAGUAGCGUGCAGGAUGACGGCCCUACGGGUUGUACACUGCUUUUAUACGGGAAUAACGCGCCUUACGUGUAGGGCUUUGCAUGUACCGUAUGAAUAAGGACCGGCUAAUUACGGGCCAGCAGCCGCGGUAAUACGGAAGGUCCGGGCGUUAUCCGGAUUUAUGGGGUUUAAAGGGAGCGUAGGCCACAUGUCAAGCGUGCUGUGAAAUGUUCGGGCUCAACCCGGGCCUUGCAGCGCGAACUGGCGUGCUUGGGUCCGCGGAGAGCAGGCGGGAUUCGUCGUGUAGCGGUGAAAUGCUUAGAUAUGACGAAGAACCCCGAUUGCGAAGGCAGCUUGCUGCAGCGGAACUGACGCUGAUGCUCGAAAGCGCGGGUAUCGAACAGGAUUAGAUACCCCUGUAGUC